UACGUAGGUGGCAAGCGUUGUCCGGAAUUAUUGGGCGUAAAGAGCUCGUAGGCGGUUUGUCGCGUCUGUCGUGAAAGCUUGGGGCUUAACCCCAAGUCUGCGGUGGAUACGGGCAGACUAGAGGCAGGUAGGGGAGAACGGAAUUCCCGGUGUAGCGGUGAAAUGUGUAGAGAUCGGGAGGAACACCGGUGGCGAAGGCGGGUCUCUGGGCAAUUCCUGACGCUGAGGCGCGAAAGCGUGGGGAGCAAACGGG
Molecule: ribosomal RNA, 253 nt
Filed under: uncultured bacterium
Lineage: Bacteria
Description: partial 16S ribosomal RNA
Rfam family: Bacterial small subunit ribosomal RNA
Source: RNAcentral